GAUGAACGCUAGCGGCAGGCCUAACACAUGCAAGUCGAGGGGGAGGUUACUUUCGGGUAACUGAGACCGGCGUACGGGUGCGUAACGCGUAUACAAUCUGCCUUUCACUGGGGGAUAGCCCGAAGAAAUUUGGAUUAAUACCCCAUAGUAUAGUAAUACGGCAUCGUGAUGCUAUUAAAGCUUAGGUGGUGAAAGAUGAGUAUGCGUUCUAUUAGCUAGUUGGAGAGGUAACGGCUCCCCAAGGCGAUGAUAGAUAGGGGUUCUGAGAGGGAUGUCCCCCAAACUGGUACUGAGAAACGGACCAGAAUCCUACGGGAGGCAGAAGGGAGGAAUAUUGGAAAAUGUUAGGAAAAUUUACCCAGCCAUGCCGGGUGCAGGAGAAAGUUCUUAUGGAUUGUAAACCGCUUUGUUAAGGGAAGAAAAAGGGCUAAGCGUAGUUUGAGGAAGGUACCUUACGAAUAAGCAUCGGCUAACCCCGU
This 479-nucleotide ribosomal RNA is filed under the name uncultured bacterium. Its description in RNAcentral is "partial 16S ribosomal RNA". It matches the Rfam family "Bacterial small subunit ribosomal RNA", at positions 28 to 506 of the family's 1533-position model. The record is from RNAcentral.